AUGCUGAUGUUUGAAGAGAAGUUCCGCCGACACCGUCUUAGUCGUAUAACAAGUUUAUUACAACAAGCACAGUGUCGAAGCAAGUAGAAACUACUUGGAGAGCUCCUGGCCAAAUGAUGAGAGACUCUCCCGACCUAUGCCGGACAAGCCUUUAUAUAGGUUAUUUUGUGCCUCCCCAUGACAUGCAGUAACAAGAGCUCACGGCAAACAUACAAUGAAGUUACUUAAGACCAAAGAAACAGAAAGAUAAUAAACAGUCCUUUCCCAGGAA
Molecule: long non-coding RNA, 271 nt
Organism: Larimichthys crocea (large yellow croaker)
Lineage: Eukaryota; Metazoa; Chordata; Actinopteri; Sciaenidae
Exons: 2
Source: RefSeq, a predicted model, not a curated record